Molecule: ribosomal RNA, 253 nt
Filed under: uncultured bacterium
Lineage: Bacteria
Description: partial 16S ribosomal RNA
Rfam family: Bacterial small subunit ribosomal RNA
Source: RNAcentral
UACAGAGGUCUCAAGCGUUGUUCGGAUUCAUUGGGCGUAAAGGGUGCGUAGGUGGCGCCGUAAGUCGGGUGUGAAAUUUCGGAGCUUAACUCCGAAACUGCAUUCGAUACUGCGGUGCUUGAGGACUGGAGAGGAGACUGGAAUUCAUGGUGUAGCAGUGAAAUACGUAGAGAUCAUGAGGAAGACCAGUGGCGAAGGCGGGUCUCUGGACAGUUCCUGACACUGAGGCACGAAGGCCAGGGGAGCAAACGGG